UUGAGAGAGGUCAGCGUGAGCCCCUUGCCUCACACCGGCCCCUCCCACGCUGAGAGAGGUCAGUGUGAGCCCUUGCCUCACACCGGCCCCUCCCACGCGGACAGAGGUCAGCGUGAGCCCCUUGCCUCACACCGGCCCCUCCCACGCUGAGAGAGGUCAGUGUGAGCCCUUGCCUCACCCCGGCCCCUCCCACGUGGACAGAGGUCAGCGUGAGCCCCUUGUCUCACACCGGCCCCUCCCACGCUGAGAGAGGUCAGUGUGACCCCUUGCCUCACACCGGCCCCUCCCACGCGGACAGAGGUCAGCCCGAGCCCCUUGUCUCACACCGGCCCCUCCCAUGCUGAGAGAGGUCAGCGUGAGCCCCUUGUCUCACACCGGCCCCUCCCACGCUGAGAGAGGUCAGCCCGAGCCCCUUGCCUCACACCGGCCCCUCCCACGCUGAGAGAGGUGUGAGCCCCUUGUCUCACACCGGCCCCUCCCACGCGGACAGAGGUCAGCGUGAGCCCCUUGCCUCACCCCGGCCCCUCCCACGCUGAGAGAGGUCAGCGUGAGCCCCUUGCCUCACCCCGGCCCCUCCCACGCUGAGAGAGGUCAGUGUGAGCCCUUGCCUCACACCGGCCCCUCCCACGCGGACAGAGGUCAGC
Molecule: long non-coding RNA, 644 nt
Filed under: Homo sapiens (human)
Lineage: Eukaryota; Metazoa; Chordata; Mammalia; Primates; Hominidae
Description: HSALNT0317686
Source: RNAcentral